RNAcentral lists this ribosomal RNA (253 nucleotides) under uncultured bacterium. Its description in RNAcentral is "partial 16S ribosomal RNA". It matches the Rfam family "Bacterial small subunit ribosomal RNA", at positions 524 to 776 of the family's 1533-position model. The record is from RNAcentral.
UACGUAGGGUGCAAGCGUUGUCCGGAAUUAUUGGGCGUAAAGAGCUUGUAGGCGGUUUGUCGCGUCUGCUGUGAAAUUUCGGGGCUCAACCCCGAACUUGCAGUGGGUACGGGCAGACUAGAGUGUGGUAGGGGAGACUGGAAUUCCUGGUGUAGCGGUGAAAUACGCAGAUAUCAGGAGGAACACCGAUGGCGAAGGCAGGUCUCUGGGCCACUACUGACGCUGAGAAGCGAAAGCAUGGGGAGCGAACAGG